Long non-coding RNA from Poecilia latipinna (sailfin molly), 736 nucleotides. RefSeq lists it as uncharacterized. The transcript has 2 exons. Lineage: Eukaryota; Metazoa; Chordata; Actinopteri; Cyprinodontiformes; Poeciliidae. The record is from RefSeq and is a predicted model, not a curated record.
GAGAUAAACACAUUCAUUUAAUUUUUGUUGGAUAAAUGCAGUUUGUCUGUAAAAGCAAAAUUGUGACAUUUUCUAGACUGCAGUAAAAUCUUCAGUCUGCAUAUCUUUCUGUUUUGAACCUUAUUACACAAAACCAUAUUUGAUUAUAUUUCUGUAAGGAUCUUAUCUCAGGACGCUUCGUUAGCUUUAAAAGAAUAAAUAAAAAAGCCCAGUUUUCAAUGUGUUAGCUGAUCAAGAUGACGCUGUUAAAGAGUCCAGCUGAAAUCCACUCAUCAGUCAAGUCAGCACUCUGAUUGCUAAAAAACAAACAUGCAUGCUCCUAAAACUGUUUGAACAACUUCUGCAACAAAGAUUGCAACCAAAUCAAUCUUUUUGGAAUAAUCAAGCAUGUCUGGGUUACGUUACUUAGAUUAAAUAGUGUUAAAGUUUCCAGACGGUCAGAGAACACAGGAAGCACAAGAACAUUGUUCUAAAGAGUAUUAAGCACAGAGUUCAGCUCGCUAAGGAAUAAUCACUUAUAUAAUAAUAUAUCUAAUUUUAUGAAACGCUAACGAAUUUAUACUCACCUCCAUAUGCUCAGCACUUGUGCCUCAUAUAGGACCCUAGUAUUCUAUUAAUUAAUUCAGUUACUGAUUAUUUGUCCAUAUGGGGGCGCUCACAGACUGUGCAUAGAGCAUUGAAUUGUGGGAAAAAGUAAACAAAUUUGGCAUAAAGUAAAUGACUCCAAAUGAACUAA